RNAcentral lists this ribosomal RNA (433 nucleotides) under uncultured bacterium. Its description in RNAcentral is "partial 16S ribosomal RNA". It matches the Rfam family "Bacterial small subunit ribosomal RNA", at positions 29 to 507 of the family's 1533-position model. The record is from RNAcentral.
AACGAACGCUGGCGGCAUGCCUAACACAUGCAAGUCGAACGAGACCUUCGGGUCUAGUGGCGCACGGGUGCGUAACGCGUGGGAACCUGCCCUUAGGUUCGGAAUAACUCCCCGAAAGGGGUGCUAAUACCGGAUAAUGUCUUCGGACCAAAGAUUUAUCGCCUUUGGAUGGGCCCGCGUUGGAUUAGCUAGUUGGUAGGGUAAAAGCUUACCAAGGCGACGAUCCAUAGCUGGUCUGAGAGGAUGAUCAGCCACACUGGGACUGAGACACGGCCCAGACUCCUACGGGAGGCAGCAGUGGGGAAUAUUGGACAAUGGGCGAAAGCCUGAUCCAGCAAUGCCGCGUGAGUGGUGAAGGCCUUAGGGUUGUAAAGCUCUUUUACCCGGGAUGAUAAUGACAGUACCGGGAGAAUAAGCUCCGGCUAACUCCGUG